UUAUCGCGAAGCUGUCCCUCUUCAUUACACAUUUACUGAUGGCCACCAAAGGUAAAUAGCUUCGCCAUGUGUAUAUACCUUAUUUGUAAAUUCAUGUCAAGAGCUGUUUGCUUCGAAUUUUUGCAGACCGACACGAGAAGAAAGAAUAUGUCAAGCCUAAUAUGUUCUUUAUGAGGCAACUGGGCGAGGCCAAGAAGAAUAAGCCCCUUAGCACCAACACUUCCUCCUACAAGCAUCAGCGGGAGAAACUUGUCUCAUUUGUUGAAGCUGAACCCAUUGCGACAAACCCAUCUAUUGAUGAAUCAGUGAAUAAGCCCAUUGCGACAAACCCAUCUCGACCGUUAAAAUAGUUGAGCCUGAGUCUGGCCUCAUUAAAAGAAAAGGGAUCGCCCUGGAAGCUUGCCCACAAGGCUUUUUCUUGAAUGCCCAAAUGGACAUAAGGAGAUUGCAGAGGCUAAAUAAAGACUUUUGCCAAAAGGUGGCUGAUGCAGAAGCAGAGGUCAAAAGGUUGAAAUUUGAGGCCUACACUACUAAUGAAGUUUCCGAAGCUUUUCUAGCCCAAGCAUGGUUAAGCAGAGUCGAGGUUCUUACUAUUGAGAACGAAGAUCUGAAGAAGGAGGUCUACCAUUGUAAGGCUGAGAUAAAUGCUAUGACGAAGUGAGUGGAGAAUUCUAACAACUUGUAGAAGAUAGUUUCGUCAACUUUGGAGGUGGCAACUAUGGAAAAAGGGUAAUAGAAGUCCUAAGUUGAUGAGUUGACUGCCAAGGUUGCCAGUUAGUUUCGUCAACUUUGGAGGUGGCAACUAUGGAAAAAGGGUAAUAGAAGUCCUAAGUUGAUGAGUUGACUGCCAAGGUUGCCAGUCUAAAACAGCAAUUAAAAGUGGCUGGGGAGACAGCAGUUACCAAUUACUUGGAGCAUUUCCAUGAGACAGAUGAGUAUGACUGCCUCUAUUGAUAAUGGAGGAAGGUCGCAUAUGAUGAAGUCAUGAGGAUGAUAGCUCAGUUGGAUCCCUAGGUGGACUUGGCUUCAAUAAGGAAUGAGUUUUACCUAGAAGAGCCAGCCACCUUGGCGGAGGAUGCCAUAGAGGCCUCCGUUGAAGAUGUCGAGGAAAACCAGCAGGAACCUCAACGGAUGAUGCCACUACUUAGGGGAUAGGCC
This 1158-nucleotide long non-coding RNA is filed under the name Olea europaea (common olive). RNAcentral describes it as "long non-coding RNA (OEUR_LNC006447)". The record is from RNAcentral. Lineage: Eukaryota; Viridiplantae; Streptophyta; Magnoliopsida; Lamiales; Oleaceae.